RNAcentral lists this ribosomal RNA (1522 nucleotides) under Bacillus halotolerans. RNAcentral describes it as "bacterial SSU rRNA". It matches the Rfam family "Bacterial small subunit ribosomal RNA". The record is from RNAcentral. Lineage: Bacteria; Bacillati; Bacillota; Bacilli; Caryophanales; Bacillaceae.
UUUAGAGUUUUGAAUCAUGGCUCAGGACGAACGCUGGCGGCGUGCCUAAUACAUGCAAGUCGAGCGGACAGAUGGGAGCUUGCUCCCUGAUGUUAGCGGCGGACGGGUGAGUAACACGUGGGUAACCUGCCUGUAAGACUGGGAUAACUCCGGGAAACCGGGGCUAAUACCGGAUGCUUGUUUGAACCGCAUGGUUCAAACAUAAAAGGUGGCUUCGGCUACCACUUACAGAUGGACCCGCGGCGCAUUAGCUAGUUGGUGAGGUAAUGGCUCACCAAGGCAACGAUGCGUAGCCGACCUGAGAGGGUGAUCGGCCACACUGGGACUGAGACACGGCCCAGACUCCUACGGGAGGCAGCAGUAGGGAAUCUUCCGCAAUGGACGAAAGUCUGACGGAGCAACGCCGCGUGAGUGAUGAAGGUUUUCGGAUCGUAAAGCUCUGUUGUUAGGGAAGAACAAGUACCGUUCGAAUAGGGCGGUACCUUGACGGUACCUAACCAGAAAGCCACGGCUAACUACGUGCCAGCAGCCGCGGUAAUACGUAGGUGGCAAGCGUUGUCCGGAAUUAUUGGGCGUAAAGGGCUCGCAGGCGGUUCCUUAAGUCUGAUGUGAAAGCCCCCGGCUCAACCGGGGAGGGUCAUUGGAAACUGGGGAACUUGAGUGCAGAAGAGGAGAGUGGAAUUCCACGUGUAGCGGUGAAAUGCGUAGAGAUGUGGAGGAACACCAGUGGCGAAGGCGACUCUCUGGUCUGUAACUGACGCUGAGGAGCGAAAGCGUGGGGAGCGAACAGGAUUAGAUACCCUGGUAGUCCACGCCGUAAACGAUGAGUGCUAAGUGUUAGGGGGUUUCCGCCCCUUAGUGCUGCAGCUAACGCAUUAAGCACUCCGCCUGGGGAGUACGGUCGCAAGACUGAAACUCAAAGGAAUUGACGGGGGCCCGCACAAGCGGUGGAGCAUGUGGUUUAAUUCGAAGCAACGCGAAGAACCUUACCAGGUCUUGACAUCCUCUGACAAUCCUAGAGAUAGGACGUCCCCUUCGGGGGCAGAGUGACAGGUGGUGCAUGGUUGUCGUCAGCUCGUGUCGUGAGAUGUUGGGUUAAGUCCCGCAACGAGCGCAACCCUUGAUCUUAGUUGCCAGCAUUCAGUUGGGCACUCUAAGGUGACUGCCGGUGACAAACCGGAGGAAGGUGGGGAUGACGUCAAAUCAUCAUGCCCCUUAUGACCUGGGCUACACACGUGCUACAAUGGACAGAACAAAGGGCAGCGAAACCGCGAGGUUAAGCCAAUCCCACAAAUCUGUUCUCAGUUCGGAUCGCAGUCUGCAACUCGACUGCGUGAAGCUGGAAUCGCUAGUAAUCGCGGAUCAGCAUGCCGCGGUGGAAUACGUUCCCGGGGCCUUGUACACACCGCCCGUCACACCACGAGAGUUUGUAACACCCGAAGUCGGUGAGGUAACCUUUAUGGAGCCAGCCGCCGAAGGUGGGACAGAUGAUUGGGGUGAAGUCGUAACAGGGUUAACCGUA